This 520-nucleotide ribosomal RNA is filed under the name uncultured Glomus. Its description in RNAcentral is "SSU rRNA". It matches the Rfam family "Eukaryotic small subunit ribosomal RNA", at positions 569 to 1091 of the family's 1831-position model. Lineage: Eukaryota; Fungi; Glomeromycota; Glomeromycetes; Glomerales; Glomeraceae. The record is from RNAcentral.
AGCAGCCGCGGUAAUUCCAGCUCCAAUAGCGUAUAUUAAAGUUGUUGCAGUUAAAAAGCUCGUAGUUGAAUUUCGGGGUCAGUAGAUUGGUCGUGCCACUGGUAUGCACUGGUCUUACUGGCUCCUCCUUCCUGAUGAACCGUAAUGCCAUUAAUUUGGUGUUGCGGGGAGACUGGACUGUUACUUUGAAAAAAUUAGAGUGUUUAAAGCAGGCUAACGCUUGAAUACAUUAGCAUGGAAUAAUGAAAUAGGACGUUCGAUCUUAUUUUGUUGGUUUCUAAGAUUGACGUAAUGAUUAAUAGGGAUAGUUGGGGGCAUUAGUAUUCAAUUGUCAGAGGUGAAAUUCUUGGAUUUAUUGAAGACUAACUACUGCGAAAGCAUUUGCCAAGGAUGUUUUCAUUAAUCAAGAACGAAAGUUAGGGGAUCGAAGACGAUCAGAUACCGUCGUAGUCUUAACCAUAAACUAUGCCGACUAGGGAUCGGAUGAUGUUAAUUUUUAAUGACUCAUUCGGCGCCUUAA